Molecule: ribosomal RNA, 482 nt
Filed under: uncultured bacterium
Lineage: Bacteria
Description: partial 16S ribosomal RNA
Rfam family: Bacterial small subunit ribosomal RNA
Source: RNAcentral
AUUGAACGCUGGCGGCAUGCUUUACACAUGCAAGUCGAACGGUAACAGGCCGCAAGGUGCUGACGAGUGGCGCACGGGUGAGUAAUGCAUCGGAACGUGCCCAGUCGUGGGGGAUAACUACUCGAAAGAGUAGCUAAUACCGCAUACGAUCUAUGGAUGAAAGCGGGGGACCGUAAGGCCUCGCGCGAUUGGAGCGGCCGAUGUCGGAUUAGGUAGUUGGUGGGGUAAAGGCUCACCAAGCCAACGAUCUGUAGCUGGUCUGAGAGGACGACCAGCCACACUGGGACUGAGACACGCCCCAGACUCCUACGGGAGGCAGCAGUGGGGAAUGUUGGACAAUGGGCGCAAGCCUGAUCCAGCAAUGCCGCGUGCAGGAAGAAGGCCUUCGGGUUGUAAACUGCUUUUGUACGGAACGAAACGGCUCUGGUUAAUACCCGGGGCUAAUGACGGUACCGUAAGAAUAAGCACCGGCUAACUACGUG